AGCACCACCUAGUGAACGACAUGUAGAACUACACCAGGAUUUGUGGCACUAGUCAAACUAGUUUUGACGUCAGAGAUGCGUUUGGAUUUGUUCUCUGAAGUUAUGAGGAUGUGAUGAAAUGAAAUCCUCGCAGACUUCACGCUUCUUCUCUCCGGAUACUCUGACAGAUGACGGCGGAAAGUUUCUGCAGAUCGACCUGAAGGUCAGUGCAGAGACAUGAAAUGGAUUCUGCUGGACAAGAACUUCAAGCUGAAGCUCAAUCCAAGAAACCAGUUGAGUGUAAAACAUCAAUGGAUAAAUAUUCAGAACUGAAGAACCAGAGUUCUCAGCAAGAAUUCAAGAUGGACGCUGCUGAACCAGAACCUCAAGCCAAGGCUGGAUUCAAGUGUUUGCUCAAGCGAAAAAUAUCAAUGGACAGAGACGUAGAUUACAAACAAACAUCAGCAGUAGCAGGAAUGUCGUCCGUCUUCCCUGGUCUCGGCUCUGAGCUCCUGCCCCUCCUACCUGAGAGAGCUGCACCUGAGCUACAAUCACCCCGAAGACUCAGGAGUCAAACUUCUGUCUAGUGGAUUAGAGAAUCCAGACUGGAGGCUGGAAACUCUCCGAUUUCUGUGAACUUGAACUAGACACAAACUCUGUGAACAAACACCUGAAACAAUCGGAAGAUGACGCUGGUUAAAGCGAAGCAGCCGUAUUCGGAUCAUCCAGAAAGAUUCGACUUCUGGCAGCUGCUGUGUGGAAACGCCCUGCCUGGUCGCUGUUACUGGGAGGUGGAGUGGAAAGGAGGAGUUCGCAGAGCCGUCAGUUACAGAUGAGUCAGGAGGAAAGGAAAGAGGAAUGACUGUUUGGAGAGAAUGAUCUUUCCUGGAGGCUGAGCUGCUCUGAUGGUGGGAUGGGAGGAACAGUCAGAUAUUCAUCCCGUCCGGAUCCCACAGAGUGGCCGUGUGUGUGGACUGUUCGGCUGGCAUCCUGUCCUGCUACAGGGUCUCAUCCGACACACAUCUCCACCUUCACUGAACCACUUUCUGCUGGCUUUGGGUUCAGCUCAUGACUCCUCAGUGUCUCUGUGUUCUCUAUAGUAAACAUGGCGACUAUUAGACAAAACCUCAGUGUGCAGUUUGUAAUCUUUAACAAAUGAGUAGGAGUGGAAUAAAAAAUGCUGAACCAGAAAUGAGAUGAUUCUGGCUAUGGGCUAAUCUAAAUAUUUAGUUUGAAGACAAGUAUUUAAGUAGGAAACAAAAUAUUUACAUUCAAACUAAAUAUUUAGUUAUCAAGUAAUGGAAUGAAGCUAAAUAUUUAGUUUGAAACUAAAAGUUUAGCUUAAUAUUUAACAAACAAGCUAAAUUUAGGUUAAAGACUAAAUAUCCAGUUUACAAGUUACAUAUUGAGUAAAGCUAAAUAUUUAAUUUGAAGUUAAAUAUUUGGGUUGUAAACUAAAUAUUUAGCAACAAACUAAAUAUUUCAUUAUCAAGCAAUUGAGUGCAGCUAAAUAUUUGGUUAGAAACUAAAUAGGUAGCUCCAAACUAAAUACUAUAUAUAGCUUCAAAUAAUACUUUGCCAACUAAAUAUUUAGAUAUUUAAACCUUUUGGGGAUUAAAAACCAUAAAAGGCGUUGGAUUACAUUUGAAUUACAUUUGCAGUCAAAUUUAUUUGCAAAAAGUGUUGAAAUAUAAUUUUUCAUUCAUGUUUCCCUCCCAUGAUGGACCGCUUCACUUUGGUAAAAUGUCAAAAGCUUUUCUCUGUUGUUGCAACAAGGACAGGGUAGAUGGAUGCUAUAUGUUCAUAAGAGAACUGAUUUUUUUCAUCUAAUUGUAGCGUUAUAAGCACAAUUAUUAACUACUUUGUGAUAAAAGUGGAAUUAACUGUUUCUCUAAAUGAGUCACUGUUAUUUAUGGAUUUGAAAAAUCUGAAAUGCAAGUAAAAUAUGUUUUUUUAUGCAUGAUGAAGAAAGGAAACAAUGAAAAAUGGAAGGAAGAUUUUACAUAAUAUGUACAAAUACAUUUCUUCUCUAUGAUGAACGUCCUCAGACUAUUUCUUAUGUUUAUGGGAAAUUAGACACUUUGUGUAUAACCUGAAGUGCAUUAGUCUGUUCAGGGUUUGCUUCAGAGAAACAGGUUCAACAAACUUUUGGUGAAUUUCAAGCUCUCGUGAUUUUUCCCCUCUGAGUCUUUAAUGUGCUUCUGAAACUAAAUCUGUGUCUGAUCAACAUUUUUCUGUGCCUUUGACCACAUUCAAACCACAUGUUUUCUAUUACAUUAUUGCAAUCUGUUUUCACUUUGUAUGUAUUUUUUCUACUCCUUGAUGUUGAAGUCCCUUCUAAACUUGUAUUGAUCUGUUUGCAUAUAUGCAAUAAAAAUUAAUCCACUUUA
Poecilia latipinna (sailfin molly) is the source of this 2369-nucleotide long non-coding RNA. RefSeq lists it as uncharacterized. NCBI's taxonomy places the organism in Eukaryota, Metazoa, Chordata, Actinopteri, Cyprinodontiformes, Poeciliidae. The record is from RefSeq and is a predicted model, not a curated record. The transcript is spliced from 5 exons.